GAGCCUUACAUUGGAUGCCUAGGCAACCAAAGAUGAAGAAGAGUGUAAUAAAUGACUAAAUGCUUCGAUGAUUUGAAAAUAAACAUAGAUCUAUAGAUUCCCAAAUAGGUCAACCUUCUAAACUAUAGCUGAAUCCAUGGAUAGGCAAGAGACAACUUAGCAAACUAAAACAUCUUAAUGGGAAGAGGAAAAGAAAGCAAAAGUUAUCCCCAUAGUAGCAACGGACAAAAUGAGAGUAGCCUAAACCAUAAAAACGGAGUUAUGGGAAAGAAACACAAGCAUCAUGCUUUUAGGCGAAGUAGUAGAGUACUACACACUAAAUGGCAAGAAUCCAAUAGCCGAAAGCAUCACUAGCUUACGCUCUGACCCGAGUAGCAUGGGGCACGUGGAAUCCCGUAUGAAUCAACAAGGAUCACCUUGCAAGGCUAAAUACUCCUGGGUGACCAAUAGCAAAGUAGUACCAUGAGAAAAGAAUAAAAAUAACCUCCAUUGGGAAGCAAAAUAGAAUAUAAAACCAGAAGCUCCCAAGUAGUGGGAAGAGCCCAAGACAAUUGUCACUAGGGGUGUCAAUGGUAUUCAAAAAUCUGAUUUCGAAUUCGAGAUUCGACAAGAUUCAACAUAAUCGAAUCAAAUUCGACUAAGUCAAAUAUCUAAUUGGUUGAAUUUGGAUAUCCUAUUCAUACCGAAUAGAUAAUCGGAUUUGAAUUCAAAUGUGACAUGAUUCAUAUUGAUAAAUAUUUUAAUUUGAUCGAUUAUUUAAUUCUUAUAUAUAAUAUAUAAAAUACUUAAAUAUUUUAUAUAAUUUAUAUAUAAUAAUUAAAUUAUAUAAAUAAUUUAUAUACUUUAUAUAAAAAAUAUUUAUUUUAUAUAUUUAUUAAUUACCUAAAAUAAUUAACUGAUCAACUUCGAAUCAAAUUGAAUUCAAAUUCGAACAUUAAUUUUCAAUAUCCAUCUAAUAUUGAAUCGGAUUCGGAUAUCGAAUCUUCUAAUCGAGUUAUUUAUUAAUUACCUAAUUCUCACUAUUAUGGACCUGAACCUGGGUUAUUUAGUUGGGUAAAACUAAGUGGAGGUCCAAAUUGAUUGAUGUUGAAGAAUUAGCAGAUGAGUUGUGGUUAGGGGUGAAAUGCCACUCGAACCCAGAGUUAGUUGGUUUCAACGAAAUGCGUUAAGGUCCAAAAAUCCAUUGGACAUAUAGGGGUAAAGCACUAUUUCGAUGCAGGUUGCUAGAGUGACACCAAAUUGAGGCAAACUCUAAAUACUAGAUAUAACCCCAAAAUAACAAGGGUCAAGGUCAUCCAGUGAGACAAUGGGGGAUAAGCUUCAUUAUUGAGAGGGAAACAAUCAGCUUUGCCUAGAAGGAUGUAUGGGUGCAAAGAUAGCUAGGAGAUUUUCUUAAAAGUAGCCACCAUUGAAAGAGUGUAAUAUCUCAUCGAUUGAGUUCUCUUGCGCCAAAGAUGAACAAGGCUAAAGGAUCUUCCAAAUCUAUGGGAUGUGUGAAUAUUCUUGUACUACCCCUUGUUGGUCCCGAGGGACGGAGGAGGCUAGGUUAGCCGAAAGAUGGUUAUCGGUUCAAGGACGCAAGGUGACCUUGCUUUUUCAAGGUAAGAAAGGGUGGAGAAAAUUUCUCAAGCCAAUGUUCAAGUACCAUGCACUAUGGCACUAAAGUAACCCAUGCCAUACUCCCAGGAAAAGCUCGAACGACCAAAACAAAAGGGUACCUGUAACCAAAUCCAACACAGGUGGGUAGGUAGGAAAUACCCAGGGGUGUGAGACAACUCUCUCUAAAGAACUUGACAAAAUAGCCCAACAACAUUGCUAGAAAGGGUGCCUCCUCACAAAGGAGGUCGUAGUGACCAAUCUCUAGUGAUUGUUUACUAAAAACAUAGGCCUCUAUAAAGUCGCAAGACCAUGUGUAGGGGUUAAUGCCUCCCAGUGCUAGAAGGUCAAAGAAGUUGGUGGCCUGAUGAUAGGAGAGCCAGUGAUCGAAGCCCUAGUGAACAAUAGUUGUAACUAUAAUAGUCCUAAAGUAGCAAAAUUCCUUACCAAGAAAGUUUGUAUGAAAGGUGUAAUGAUCUGGGCAUCUUCUCGAAAGAGAGGCUCAAUGAAAUAG
This 2110-nucleotide non-coding RNA is filed under the name Nelumbo nucifera (sacred lotus). RNAcentral describes it as "Bacterial large subunit ribosomal RNA". It matches the Rfam family "Bacterial large subunit ribosomal RNA", at positions 15 to 2044 of the family's 2925-position model. The record is from Rfam by way of RNAcentral. Lineage: Eukaryota; Viridiplantae; Streptophyta; Magnoliopsida; Proteales; Nelumbonaceae.